UUUAUUUGUCCUUUUACAUCCUGUGCAUUCCUGCUCCUUAUAAGACAUGGGGACAUUAUAUACAUUUCCUCGUGUAGAUUACAGUGCAUUGUACAUAGAGGACGCCUCGUGAUAUCCCUGCCUGAACACAAGAUUCACAUAGUAACACACAGUGUGAAAACAGAUCUCAGCUACUCACAGGGUACAAUAUGACGGUAUGGCCACGCUGAUUAAAAAUGGGUGCUCCACCACAAUCCGGACAGUUAGUUUUGGCGCAGAAAGCUACUUUUGUGUAAAUAGACAUUAACUCUUUUACCACACAAGACCACCAGGGAUGUACAUUAAUCCCUUCACUGCCCUUGACCACCAGGGAUGUACAUUAAUCCCUUCACUGCCCUUGACCACCAGGGAUGUACAUUAAUCCCUUCACUGCUGUAGACCACCAGGGAUUUUCAUUAAUCCCUUCACUGCUGUAGACCACCAGGGACACCUACAAUAAGAGAUAAACCCAUACUUCAGUGGAAAUCCACAGACAAGGUUGAAGUUGGACCUUGCUACAAUCCAUCAUGUUUGGCAUGUUCUGGACACAAUGGGCACAGUAUAUGUGUUGCACUGGGUGCGACCAUGAAGCUGUUCCAACACACGAUUCAAAAUGAGCGGCAGGGUCCCAUUAGACAUGGUGGUCGAGAAUGGCAUAUGUGCCCACUGAUAAAUCCCUCCCAUUGGGUCACUGGCAUGGAGACACGGG
Long non-coding RNA from Bufo bufo (common toad), 727 nucleotides. RefSeq lists it as uncharacterized. Lineage: Eukaryota; Metazoa; Chordata; Amphibia; Anura; Bufonidae. The transcript is spliced from 3 exons. The record is from RefSeq and is a predicted model, not a curated record.